Molecule: unclassified non-coding RNA, 878 nt
Filed under: Hevea brasiliensis (rubber tree)
Lineage: Eukaryota; Viridiplantae; Streptophyta; Magnoliopsida; Malpighiales; Euphorbiaceae
Source: RNAcentral
GGCCAGUUCAACAGCUCCUCCAACUCCCUGAAUUGUUUCAGAUAUAAAUCCAGCAACUUUUCCAGAAGUACCAUAUUCAAUGUGAUCUACCCUGAUCCAUACUCUUUGGCAUAACCAGUGGGAUCAGAACCAAAGAUUCCUCGGUAUGGAUCAGGGUUGAUCACGUGAUGGAUUUCACCCUGUGGUAUCGGGUACUUCCAUGUGUUCAAAGCAGUCAAUCCAAUUGUACUAGAACUUCCACCAUGAUAUGCAUUUGUCAAGGAAAUCAUAUCGAGAUUUCCACUGUAUAGUCUGGCCAUCAGCAUCGCUAAUUCAUUCGCUUCAGACCCAGAAUUUACAAAAUACACAACCUUAAGGUUUCCCGGCAUCUUGGCAGCCAAUGCCUCAGCAAAAUCAGCAAUGGCAUGGUGCAAGUAGAUGGUAGUAGCAUGCUGGAGAAGCUUGCUUUGUUCCAUAAUAGCAUUCAAAACUUCAGGAUGGCAAUGCCCACAUGAUACUGUUACUAUUCCAGCAAAGGCAUCCAGAUAUCGCCGCCCUCUUUCAUCGAACAAAUAUUGCAUCUUCCCUUCUACAAUAUUCAGAGGCUUUUGGUAGUAGUAGAAGAGAGAGGGACCCAGAAACUUCUUGCGUUUCUGGAGAAUCUCAUCUGCCAAGGGUCCAUUAUAAGGCUUCGGCUGGUAAUCAAACAAUGGGAGCUGAGGCGGAGGAGAAUCAGUGGCAGGGUCAGUAGAUGAAGAAAGCGUAGAGAAAGGAGAACAGAGAGAGAUCCUACAGUAAUGCAAAAACUUGGGUUUAGCUUCUUGCAGGGUUUUCUUCAAGAUUUGCCACUGUAACGCCAUCUCCAGGUUCAGAUGCUCAGAGAGAGGGAGAGAGAGAGA